UACGUAGGGGCCUAGCGUUGUCCGGAUUUAUUGGGCGUAAAGAGCUCGUAGGCGGUUCGGUAAGUCAGGGGUGAAAUCUCCACGCUCAACGUGGAGGCGCCACCUGAAACUGCCGUGACUCGAGUCCGGUAGGGGAGUGUGGAAUUCCCGGUGUAGCGGUGAAAUGCGCAGAUAUCAGGAGGAACACCGAUGGCGAAGGCAGGUCUCUGGGCCACUACUGACGCUGAGAAGCGAAAGCAUGGGGAGCGAACAGG
Molecule: ribosomal RNA, 254 nt
Filed under: uncultured bacterium
Lineage: Bacteria
Description: partial 16S ribosomal RNA
Rfam family: Bacterial small subunit ribosomal RNA
Source: RNAcentral